Molecule: ribosomal RNA, 415 nt
Filed under: uncultured prokaryote
Description: bacterial SSU rRNA
Rfam family: Bacterial small subunit ribosomal RNA
Source: RNAcentral
GUGUCAGCAGCCGCGGUAAGACGAAGGUGGCAAGCGUUGUUCGGAAUCACUGGGCUUAAAGCGCACGUAGGCGGCCUGUCAAGCGCCGUGUGAAAUCCCUCGGCUUAACCGAGGAAUGGCUUGGCGAACUGGCAGGCUUGAGGCAGGUAUGGGCGAGUGGAACUCUUGGUGGAGCGGUGAAAUGCGUAGAUAUCAAGAGGAACGCCGGCGGUGAAGACGACUCGCUGGGCCUGUCCUGACGCUGAGGUGCGAAAGCCAGGGGAGCAAACGGGAUUAGAUACCCCGGUAGUCCUGGCCGUAAACGAUGUCCACUAGAUUGGGGAUUCUUUGACGGAUUCCUGGUCGAAGCGAAAGCGUUAAGUGGACCGCCUGGGUAGUACGGUCGCAAGGCUAAAACUCAAAGGAAUUGACGGGG